CCCUCCCAGGCCCCCAAGAGGUCACAACACUCCCCCCAGUACACGUGUACCCCACACCAGUGCCCUAUGUGGAGGGCAACGACGGCUCCUACGCCCCCCCCGGUGCCAUCCGCUCUGGUUCCUACCCCUAUGCUGAGGCCCCUCUCUAUGGGCAGAGCAGUGGCACCGGUUACUACGAGAGCCCGGGGGGGGCCCCGGUGCAGCCCAGCC
Long non-coding RNA from Melopsittacus undulatus (budgerigar), 210 nucleotides. RefSeq lists it as uncharacterized. The transcript has 3 exons. The record is from RefSeq and is a predicted model, not a curated record. Lineage: Eukaryota; Metazoa; Chordata; Aves; Psittaciformes; Psittaculidae.